AUCACUUGUUUUGGUUGAAAUUAACAGAUACUCUACCGAUUGAAAAUAAGAUGGAUCUUUACAUGCUAAAAUUACUGUUUAUUAAUUUGGGUUCUGGUGGGUUGAGCCAUACCGAUCUAUGAGGUUUCUUGUUUUAAAAAAAGCUGAUUUUACUCUAAAGAAAAUCCUCUCUGUAGGGAUCCUUUAUUUUAUGUUGGCAAACACUUAGAAGAAUAAGCCUGUCCUUUGAACUGUUGCAGCUCUGAGAGCUGGGGUGUUUGUAGGUCUGUCUGCUUCGCUGCUGCUUGUCCUCUCUGUCAGCAUAGCUUACCUUUUGUGAAAUGCCACUAAUAAGACUUUGCUUUCAUUAGUAUAAAUUGCAUUUAUAAUAAACAUUCAGUGUAAUUAAUUGAGAACAUACUGUAGGGCUUUUUAUUUUGUAGCACAAGGGAAUGUGAGUUAAGAACAUGCCGUUGGUCAAUACUAUGGGAAUAAUAUAAACCAAAUAUCUUCAUAUAGUCAUAAUGGCCAGCGUGUGAUUUAAAAUUUGUUUUUCUUUUCUUUCUUUUUUUAAAGUGACAGCUUAAAUACACAUUUGCCUAGGUUUGGCACCUGUGAAUUUAAGUCCUUGAAUUUGUUUAACUUUUUACUGUUGUAACACAAAUUUCUGUUUCAGCUUUGGAUUCUGGAGAGUACAAAUAUAUUGGAGAAAUGCUCGCUUUUGCCAUUGUCCACGGAGGCAUCAGGCCGUCCUUUUUUUCAGAGCGUCUCUAAUGCAUGCUUGCCCAUUGUCCAACUCCACCAAUUAAGAUUGAGGAGGUGGAUGACAUGGAAAUUCAGGAGAAGUUGCAAAGGGUUGGAAGCGGAACUUCAGCAGUUUGGAAUUGCUGAGGCAAUAGCAAAGCAUCCGGAGGUAAUGAAACCUCUUUUUGUUGGAAGCCCCAAAGGUGUUGAUAUGGAAGACCUUCAGAACCUUUUCAUGACAUGAGACAUGAGAACCAGGCUUUCAUGUUCUGGAAAGACUGGCUCCUGGAGGUGGAUGAGGGAACUAGACCUGUGACCCUGCAACAAAUAUUAACAUUUGUCUCAGGGGUAGACACCAUUCCACUGCUUGGGUUUCCCUACCCACCACAGCUGGAAUUCUUGCAUGGCGACAAUGACAGUAGGAGAGUGUUCCCAGAGGCCAACACUUGUCAAGUUGUCUUAAGGCUGCCUCUGCACACCUCUUAUGACAACUUUAUCCAUUUCAUGGAGUCUGGGAUACUGCAGUCCCCGACUUUUGGAGUAAUCUAGUCAAUAUAUAUACAUAUACACAACGUACCACUUCCGAGUUUGUGCUGCCGGAUUUCAUUUUUUUCUUUUUCUUUUUCUCCCCUUUUCGGAUGCCUUCCGUUUUUUUUGUUGUAAUUUUAAA
RNA transcript from Perca flavescens (yellow perch), 1393 nucleotides. It is a transcript of the gene named G2/M phase-specific E3 ubiquitin-protein ligase-like, with no coding region annotated. The transcript is spliced from 3 exons. The record is from RefSeq and is a predicted model, not a curated record. Lineage: Eukaryota; Metazoa; Chordata; Actinopteri; Perciformes; Percidae.